GAUGAACGCUGGCGGCGUGCCUAAUACAUGCAGGUAGAACGCUGAAGGAAGGAGCUUGCUCUUUCCGGAUGAGUUGCGAACGGGUGAGUAACGCGUAGGUAACCUGCCUGGUAGCGGGGGAUAACUAUUGGAAACGAUAGCUAAUACCGCAUAACAGUAGAUGUUGCAUGAUAUCUACUUAAAAGGUGCAAUUGCACCACUACCAGAUGGACCUGCGUUGUAUUAGCUAGUUGGUGAGGUAACGGCUCACCAAGGCGACGAUACAUAGCCGACCUGAGAGGGUGAUCGGCCACACUGGGACUGAGACACGGCCCAGACUCCUACGGGAGGCAGCAGUAGGGAAUCUUCGGCAAUGGACGGAAGUCUGACCGAGCAACGCCGCGUGAGUGAAGAAGGUUUUCGGAUCGUAAAGCUCUGUUGUAAGAGAAGAACGAGUGUGAGAGUGGAAAGUUCACACUGUGACGGUAUCUUACCAGAAAGGGACGGCUAACUACGUG
This 497-nucleotide ribosomal RNA is filed under the name uncultured bacterium. Its description in RNAcentral is "partial 16S ribosomal RNA". It matches the Rfam family "Bacterial small subunit ribosomal RNA", at positions 28 to 507 of the family's 1533-position model. The record is from RNAcentral.